UUUCAAAGCCCCGCGGGAGACCCCGCGGUGCGUUGUAGACUGAAGGGGCGCUAUCUCUUGCAUGGCCUGGGUGUAGGUCCGUUGGAAAGCGGCGUCACAGAGGGUGAGAAUCCCGUCGGUGACUCAGGCUCCAUGCAUCGUACGUUGCGCUUCCAUAGAGUCGGGUUGUUUGGGAAUGCAGCCCAAAACGGGUGGUAAGCUCCAUCUAAGGCUAAAUACAGGCACGAGACCGAUAGCGAACAAGUACCGUGAGGGAAAGAUGAAAAGCACUUUGAAAAGAGAGUCAAAAAGUACGUGAAACCGUUAAGAGGGAAACGGAUGGGGCUAGCAUUUGUGCCUUUGUGUCGCAAUCAGCCGGACGCCUCGCCACGGCGGCGGCGGAGGAGCCUUUCCUUCCGUGUGUCCCGCAAGGGGUGCGCGGGGGGUGGAGGGCCCCACGCCGUCCGCUCAGUGGGCGGGGUCGGCCGGUGCACUUGCGGCCGGCAGCAGGCCAACAUCAGUUCGGAAUCAUUUAGCCAGAGGCGGGCCUAACAACCCCCUCGUAGGACAGUAGCCCGUUAGCAGGGGAAGGCGGUUGUUUCAGGAACGUGUUUUCCUGCUGCAAUGUUAUAGACCCUGUGGGGCGAGUCGCGGCCCGGACUGAGGAGAUAAAGCAGCGCGCAACCCUUUGCAGAGUCCCCGCUGGGAUGGCGGGCGGACCGGGACUGCCUCCAAAGUGGGGUAAGUGCCGGACGUCCACGUCCGACCCACGGCCCUGGCCACGGGGACCAACGCAUUAUUCGCGCUUGUGAUGUUGGCGAAAUGGCGUCAUCCGACCCGUCUUGAAACACGGACCAAGGAGUCUAACAUGUACGCGAGUCUUUGGGUGGCAAACCCGCGGGCGCAAUGAAAGUGAAGGCGCGCAUUCCGUGCGCCGAGGUGGGACGUUUCCUCCCUGCGCCUCCGUUCGCGGUGGCGUCGGGUGGGGGCAGCACCAUCGACCGAUCCGGAAGGGCAACCCGGGGUCAAAGCCGGGGAGCGACUCCUGAAAGAUUUGAGUAAGAGCGUACCUGUUGGGACCCGAAAGAUGGUGAACUAUGCCUGAACAGGGUGAAGCCUGAGGAAACUCAGGUGGAAGCUCGCAGCGAUUCUGACGUGCAAAUCGAUCGUCUGAUUUGGGUAUAGGGGCGAAAGACUAAUCGAACCAUCUAGUAGCUGGUUCCCUCCGAAAUUUCCCUAAGGAUAGCUGGAACUCGAAACGCAGUUUUAUCAGGUAAAGCGAAUGACUAGAGGCCUUGGGGUCGAAAUGACCUCAACCUAUUCUCAAACUUUAAAUGGGUAAGAAGCCCGGCUUGCUUAACUGAAGCCGGGACUCAGAAUGCAAGAGUUCUAAGUGGGCCAUUUUUGGUAAGCAGAACUGGCGAUGCGGGAUGAACCGAACGCGAAGUUAAAGUGCCAAAGUUCACGCUCACCCAGAACCCAGAAAAGGUGUUGGCUGAUGAAGACAGCAGGACGGUGGCCAUGGAAGUCGGAAGCCGCUAAGGAGUGUGUAACAACUCACCUGCCGAAUCAGCCAGCCCUGAAAAUGGAUGGCGCUCAAGCGUGACACUCACACUUCGCCGUCGCCGCGAGAGGAAGACGUGACCGUCCCACUUUGCGGCGACGAGUAGGAGGGCGUGGGGGUGGUGAGGCAGCUUCGGGCGUGAGCCCGAGUGAAACCGCC
This 1702-nucleotide ribosomal RNA is filed under the name Leidyomyces sp. GUA-X-18. RNAcentral's name for it is "eukaryotic LSU rRNA". It matches the Rfam family "Eukaryotic large subunit ribosomal RNA", at positions 114 to 1437 of the family's 3401-position model. Lineage: Eukaryota; Ichthyosporea; Ichthyophonida; Eccrinaceae. The record is from RNAcentral.